This 253-nucleotide ribosomal RNA is filed under the name uncultured bacterium. RNAcentral describes it as "partial 16S ribosomal RNA". It matches the Rfam family "Bacterial small subunit ribosomal RNA", at positions 524 to 776 of the family's 1533-position model. The record is from RNAcentral.
CACGGGGGGAGCAAGCGUUGUUCGGAAUCACUGGGCGUAAAGGGCGUGUAGGCGGUCAGGUAAGUGGGACGUGAAAUGCCUCGGCUCACCCGAGGAGCGGCGUCCCAUACUGCUUGGCUUGAGUACGGGAGAGGAUGUGGGAAUUCCUGGUGUAGCGGUGAAAUGCGUAGAUAUCGGGAAGAACACCCGUGGCGAAGGCGGUUCUCUGGGACGGUACUGACGCUGAGACGCGAAAGCGUGGGGAGCGAACAGG